AUUAAAUUUAAAUCCACUUCAUUCUGAAACGUGUUGGAGGUAGAUCAUUAUUAAAAAGAGGUUUUGGGAUUUUGUCACAGUUUACUGAAAUUGUGUUUCUCUUUCAGGACGCUGUACUGUGCCAAGGGAAACUACGACUUUGGCAUCUCUCGUGUUAUCAAGAGCUUGGAGCCGUACAAUAAGAAGCUGGGGACGGACACAUGGUUCUACGCCAAGCGUUGUUUCCUCUCUCUGCUGGAGAACAUGUCCAAACACAUGGUCAUGCUGAGGGACGCUGUGGUGGAGGAGUGUAUUCAGUUCCUGGAGCACUGUGAGGUCUACGGGAAGGAAGUGCCGGCCAUCAUCGAGCAGCCUCUGGAGGAGAUUCACAUUCACAUUGGCAAGAACACUGUCACCUACGAGGCUCGACUGCUCAAGGCGCUGUUCUAUGAUGUCAUUGGCUGGAACAAGUGACUUCAUUACAGGAUGUCAAGAGUAAUGACUGAGGUUUGAUGAUCCAAGAAACAUGACUGACUGCAGCCAGAGAUGGUAUUUUGUCAAUAAAGUCGACUCAAAGGAUAAUUAACCUGAAGCCAGAGACAAUCAACACUACACACCUCAGGGGAAGCUUCUCUAAUGAAGUGAGAGGGUGAGUUGAAGCAGAAGAGUCAAGAGAACAGACGUUAGGAGGUCUGGUUCAGUGAUCUCAGCUCUUACAGUAAUAGUCAGUAAUACUCGCUGUGCAGAGUAUCAUGAGCUUCUUUUAUUAGCGGUGUUUAUUCUACAUGAAAUACAUAAACACUUUGUUUCAAGUUCACCUACAUACAUUCAUGAUUCAUGCAUUUAUCCUCUUUGGUGAGCGUGUUUUCUAUAGUAUACAUAACAUUAUUAUCAGUAACAAAAACAUAAGGACAAUAAAGAUCGUUAUAUUUGAAAUAAAAAUCAUUGCCCUGCAAUCUUUUUCUGUGAAAUAAUGAAUGUGUUUAUUCACAGCUGUAGUAGAUAUAAUAAACAUGGAUGUUCAAUUUA
Non-coding RNA from Paralichthys olivaceus (Japanese flounder), 1008 nucleotides. Lineage: Eukaryota; Metazoa; Chordata; Actinopteri; Pleuronectiformes; Paralichthyidae. The record is from RefSeq and is a predicted model, not a curated record.